CAUGCAAGUAGAACGCUGAAGCUUUGGUGCUUGCACCGAGCGGAAGAGUUGCGAACGGGUGAGUAACGACGUAGGUAACCUGCAUGGUAGCGGGGGAUAACUAUUGGAAACGAUAGCUAAUACCGCAUGAUAUUGAUUAUUGCAUGAUAGUCAAUUAAAAGGUGCAAUUGCAUCACUACCAGAUGGACCUGCGUUGUAUUAGCUAGUUGGUGAGGUAACGGCUCACCAAGGCAACGAUACAUAGCCGACCUGAGAGGGUGAUCGGCCACACUGGGACUGAGACACGGCCCAGACUCCUACGGGAGGCAGCAGUAGGGAAUCUUCGGCAAUGGACGGAAGUCUGACCGAGCAACGCCGCGUGAGUGAAGAAGGUUUUCGGAUCGUAAAGCUCUUGUUGUAAGACGAAGAACGAGUGUGAGAGUGGAAA
RNAcentral lists this ribosomal RNA (427 nucleotides) under Streptococcus sp. oral taxon 070. RNAcentral's name for it is "bacterial SSU rRNA". It matches the Rfam family "Bacterial small subunit ribosomal RNA", at positions 54 to 470 of the family's 1533-position model. The record is from RNAcentral. Lineage: Bacteria; Bacillati; Bacillota; Bacilli; Lactobacillales; Streptococcaceae.